ACGGGGUGCAGCAGGCGCGAAACCUUCGCAAUGCGCGCAAGCGUGACGAGGGAACCCCAAGUGCGCAUGUACAGCAUGUGCUUUUACUAAGUGUAAAAAGCUUAGGGAAUAAGGGCUGGGUAAGACUGGUGCCAGCCUCCGCGGUAACACCAGCAGCUCAAGUGGUGAUCGCGUUUACUGGGUUUAAAGCGUACGUAGUCGGUUCAGUCAGUUUUCUGUGAAAUCCUACGGCUCAACCGUAGGGAUGGCAGGAAAUACUACUAGACUUGAGACCGGGGUAGGAGUGGGGUAUUCUGGGGGUAGCGGUGAAAUGCUAUAAUCCCCGGAAGACCACCGGCAGCGAAGGCGCCACUCUAGAACGGGUCUGACGAUGAGGUACGAGAGCUAGGGGAGCGAACAGGAUUAGAUACCCUGGUAGUCCUAGCUGUAAACGAUGCAGGUUUAGUGUUCCCUGAAUCUCGUGUUCGGGGAGUGCUGAAGGGAAACCGUAAACCUGCCACCUGGGAGUACGUCGCAAGGC
RNAcentral lists this ribosomal RNA (520 nucleotides) under uncultured archaeon. RNAcentral describes it as "bacterial SSU rRNA". It matches the Rfam family "Archaeal small subunit ribosomal RNA", at positions 325 to 849 of the family's 1478-position model. The record is from RNAcentral.